Molecule: long non-coding RNA, 453 nt
Organism: Mauremys reevesii (Reeves's turtle)
Lineage: Eukaryota; Metazoa; Chordata; Testudines; Geoemydidae
Exons: 3
Source: RefSeq, a predicted model, not a curated record
CCUGCUGGAAUGGAAGUGCAAUGGACAUUGGAUCUACACUUAGUGGGCCUUGCCUGUCUGCCUUUCCUAGAGACACUCUUACUGUGUAGGGGAGCAACCACUUCUAAAGAGGGAGCUUCUAGGCCAUAGUUGAGGGCAGGAGAAGAUGGGGGAAGGCAACCAGCCCCUCUUCCCUAAAAGACUAUACAGCUCAGUGAAGGAAGAGUUCCUGGGACCUUUGGGUGCUCAUGUACCUCAUCUUCACUAAGAAAGGCAGUUGGGCUUGCAUCCAGGGCAGUGGGUCUUCUGCAGUGAACUGGCUGCAUUGCGCUGGCCUUGGCCACAAGUGCAGAAGGUGAGGCUGAGCGAAGCAUCUUUGCUGAAGGCCUGCUUCCCCUCCUAUUGAAAUCAAGCUCCCCUGAAUGUCAGCAGAAGAAAAGUCAGACUGCCAAUCAGCUCACCCACCAUAAGAGG